GACAGAGGUGGCAAGCGUUGUUCGGAUUUACUGGGCGUAAAGAGUGCGUAGGUGGUGAGGUAAGACCUGUGGGAAAGACCUGGGCUUAACCCAGGAAGGUCGCAGGUGACUGCUUCGCUUGAGGACGGGAGAGGAGAGCGGAAUUCCCGGUGUAGCGGUGAAAUGCGUAGAGAUCGGGAAGAAGGCCGGUGGCGAAGGCGGCUCUCUGGAACGUUCCUGACACUGAGGCACGAAAGCGUGGGGAGCAAACAGG
This 253-nucleotide ribosomal RNA is filed under the name uncultured bacterium. RNAcentral's name for it is "partial 16S ribosomal RNA". It matches the Rfam family "Bacterial small subunit ribosomal RNA", at positions 524 to 776 of the family's 1533-position model. The record is from RNAcentral. RNAcentral also lists the same sequence under 1 other name.